GUGUAUGAGGUAUUCAGGGAGGACUAGCGCCUCUGUGAGGGCUUGCUGAAUCCUUUUCAGGGCUGCUCAUUCACCUUUCCCCCAACUCUCACCUGUGGCUCCAAGAAGCUGUAGCUUGUGCAGCAGCUAUACCCUGAUAACAAUUGUCUUGCAUAAGAGCUAAGCCAGGUUGAGGGUAACUGACAGACCUCAAAUCCAUUUGUGAGUUAGGGGGAUGUCUACCCUAAGCAUGCGAAGACUUCUUCCAGCAGAAUAGGCAAAGGAGAACACCUUCUUCCAAUAGCCGUGAAGGAGGCUGAAGCAGGCACUGUGGAACGCUUAGAGCUUGGUCAGACAUCAAAGAUGCCAAGAUUAUCCACCGCAUCCCGAGCCCUCCCCAGUCAUCUUGACUUUUCUCUUGCCACUAGACUUAGAUGACUGGAAGAGCGAGUAAAGCUGAUGACUUUGUGCAAUUCUGCCUCACUUCAAUACAAUUCAAGUCAAGACAUCCCCCAUGAUGUCACUGGUCUUCUUCGAAAACAAAGGAUGAAAAACUAACUCAGGGAAUGGAGGAGACAUCAUGUUUAUGAGAGAUACAAGAAAUUCAAAGUGGCACAAAAUGAAUCUUAAAUGAAAAUUGAUUGAGGAUUUGAAGCCUACUAGUUGGCUCUUAAAAACUAAUCUUAGCACAUUGGCCCUAAUGGGAGAGGAGGUCAUAGAAAGUAGAGACUGUUUAUUGAAUUCUCAUCCCUCCACUGGCCCCUACUGGCACAACAUGAUACUAGAGCUAUUGGAAGAUAAAAUACGUUCCCUGGGCAAACUCUCCAUCUGGCAGAUUCAGCUGAGGCUGAAGGAGAAACAAAUAUCGACAGAUAAGGCAAAGGAUAUUGGGAGUCAUGAAGGUUGAGGCUACUCUGUCUCUUUAAGAAGUAUGCUUGUGAUUUCACAGACUGUAAGUAAAUCUUGGACUUAUUAAGAGUAACUCUGUGGUGGGAUCAUUGCCUCAGGAAAGUGGGAUGGGGUGUGUACCUUAGAGUGAACUACAAAAAGGGAAAUAGGAUGGCUAAGGAUGGGAUCAUCCUGCUUUGACCAUAAGAUUGUUAUGCGUUUUGUAAAUUACAAUGGCGUCCUUAGAGAUGGAGAUGAGAGUUGGCCACUCUAGUUUCCAAAUCGGAAGAAAGUUAUCAGAGGACUUGGGGAUACCACAUAUU
RNAcentral lists this long non-coding RNA (1190 nucleotides) under Vombatus ursinus (common wombat). RNAcentral describes it as "lncRNA (ENSVURG00010015451.1)". Lineage: Eukaryota; Metazoa; Chordata; Mammalia; Diprotodontia; Vombatidae. The record is from RNAcentral.